Molecule: ribosomal RNA, 374 nt
Filed under: uncultured bacterium
Lineage: Bacteria
Description: bacterial SSU rRNA
Rfam family: Bacterial small subunit ribosomal RNA
Source: RNAcentral
ACAGGGGGCGCGAGCGUUGCUCGGAAUCACUGGGCGUAAAGCGUACGCAGGCGGGUCGAUAAGUCCGUUGUGAAAUCCCAGGGCUCAACCCUGGAACUGCAGUGGAGACUGUCGAUCUUGAGUACGGGAGAGGGGAGCGGAAUUCCUGGUGUAGAGGUGAAAUUCGUAGAUAUCAGGAGGAACACCGGUGGCGAAAGCGGCUCCCUGGCCCGAUACUGACGCUCAUGUACGAAAGCGUGGGGAGCAAACAGGAUUAGAUACCCUGGUAGUCCACGCUGUAAACGAUGAGUGCUAGUUGCUGGAACACCUUCUUUGUUUCGGUGGCGUAGCUAACGCGUUAAGCACUCCGCCUGGGAAGUACGGUCGCAAGACUA